RNAcentral lists this transfer RNA (65 nucleotides) under Dipodomys ordii (Ord's kangaroo rat). It matches the Rfam family "tRNA". From Rfam's summary of the family: Transfer RNA (tRNA) molecules are approximately 80 nucleotides in length. Their secondary structure includes four short double-helical elements and three loops (D, anti-codon, and T loops). Further hydrogen bonds mediate the characteristic L-shaped molecular structure. tRNAs have two regions of fundamental functional importance: the anti-codon, which is responsible for specific mRNA codon recognition, and the 3' end, to which the tRNAs corresponding amino acid is attached (by aminoacyl-tRNA synthetases). tRNAs cope with the degeneracy of the genetic code in two manners: having more than one tRNA (with a specific anti-codon) for a particular amino acid; and 'wobble' base-pairing, i.e. permitting non-standard base-pairing at the 3rd anti-codon position. The record is from Rfam by way of RNAcentral. Lineage: Eukaryota; Metazoa; Chordata; Mammalia; Rodentia; Heteromyidae.
GGUGGCUCAGUGGUAGAGCACUUGCCUCGCAUGCAUGAGGCCCUGAGUCCGAUUCCUCAGCACCA